UUUCCAUUCUAUGCAUUUAGCCACACUUUAGGACCCUGAUUUCUCUCUGGGCUCUAAGAGAGGGUGCCUGAGUGUAGUGGGGAAACUGAGGCCUACAGUAGCCCUGUGGCCGACAGCUGGGGAACCAUGAGGGUACCCUGAUCCUCAGCCCAGAGGCCUGUUGGCUGUGCUGUUUGUUGCUUCUCUGCCCCUGUCUCACUGUCCCUGCUCUGAGUCCCCAGGCCUUUCCUGGACUGCCUUGGUGUCUUGUAGCAAUCCCAACCUGCACACAGCCUUGGUUGGCUCACUGAUUGGCCUUCAGGCAGUUAGAGAUUUCUGGAGGAGGCUGGAGAAGCUGAGGGUUGACUAAGGGUGGUGCUGAGCUGAGGGGACCCUGCCCGGGCUACUGGGGCUCUUGGGAGUGUGUUGGAGGGGGUCCCCCAGACUCUUGUUCAUGACCCCCAGACAGGGGAAGUGUCUUAGUUUGUCAGGGCUGCCAUAAUGAAACACCACAGAGUGGCUCACCGACCUCAGAGACUUAUUUUCUCACAGUUCUGGAGGCUGGAAGUCCAAGAUCAAGGUGCCAACUUGAUUGGGUUUUCCUGAGGCCUCUCUCUCUGGCUUGCAGGUGGGCACCCUUUUGCUGCCUGUUUACAUGGGUAUCUCUCUGUGCCUGUGCACUCCUGGUGUAUCCAAAUUUCCUCUUAAAAAGACACCAUCAGGUUAGAUUAGGGCCCACCCUAAUGGCCACAUUUUAACUUAAUCUUAUCUUUAAAAGCCUAUCUCCAAAUACAGUCAUAUUAUGAAGAAAUAUGAAGUUUAGGACUUCAACAUAUGAAUCUUGUGGGGACACAUUUCAGCAGUAACAGAAAGACAGACGGCAGCAGCAUGAAGCGGGCCGCUGCCGCCGGGGAAACCUCUGCACGGGAGAGCGGCUACAGCCAAAGCCUUUAAUGGGGAGGCGCUCAGCCUACCCUGGGGAGAGGCUGGUGUUGGGUCCUCGUCCCUCUCUCCCACAAGAGGCCCUAGAGUGAGAACUAAAUGCCUGAGGCCGGAAGGCUCUGUGAGCUGAUUAUCCCUGUGGUCUCUGGGGUGAAGGAACAGUCAGCAGGCCCCAGGCACUGUCCUGUCCUUCCCCUGCCUUAUCAGAGCCUCGACUCCCUUCCGCCUCUAGGCUGUGACCCAGGCUCUCCCCAUGAGCAGUGACUUUGAAGGGGGUAACAUCGCCACCUUUGUUUUAGCUGAGCUCUGCAGCUCUCCAUGUACCCCACCUGGCAGGGAGUGGUUUAGAAAUAGCACCGAGAGUUCAAACAUCACUUCUAUUAUUUUUUCCAGGAGAUUUACUUGUCUGACUGAGUUGGUUUAGGCUGAUAUUCUAGUAAAGACUUUCCUCUCUGAGUGCCAUGUGUUUUCUGAUAAAAGCUGAGGGCGGGUAGGGAAGUGGCUCAGAAACUUUCUGGAAGUCAGAAUUGGCCACAGAUGACAAGUAAGUGCUUUGCCUGGCCCUGGAGCCCACCUCCCCAUCAGUCUUUCACGCAGCCCCAUUAGGUGGGCUAGAGAUCAUCUCAGGGUCCUCUGAUGGUGCACUGCCCUCCCCCAGCAUCCUACAUCUCCCUCUGGGGUCAGUAGUUCUGGGUCUUUCACGGCCUCUUGUCCCCCCAGGCCCAGAAGCCAGCAUUGGAGGGGCAGGAAGGAUGGAUGCUUUAGGUCCAGCUGCCUGCUGCCUUCUGCCCAGCCAGGUCCACAGAGUCCUAGGAUUGCAGAGGUUCCCUGGCUUCUUGGAAAAGGGCUAGAAGGCAGCCACCCUGCUUUUCCUGUGGACUUCAUUAGUCUUGGGAACCCAAGGCAGACAAAUCCCAGAAAAGAAGAGAAGGAAAACUGUGCUCACUGAGCUCCUUUAGGCUGAGUGUUGUGCCGGAUGCCUCUGAUAUCUCAUUUAAUCCUCUCAAGAGCCCUGCAAAGCAGGGGUUGUUUUCUCCAUUUUAUAGAUAGGGAAACUGAGACUCAGGGGCUAAGUAACUGAAUCGCACGUUGAGCGAGUGGUUGUGCUGGGAGCGAAGCCUAGGUCUGCAGGCUUUGGAGCUCUGGUCUACUUCCAGUGAAGCUGGCUGUUCCUCCCAGCUUCACUGUGCCCUUGGCCUUUCUUCCCCUUGGACAGUGGAGGGUGGAGGGUGGGAAAGUCAGUGGGGGCUUCCUCCCCUCCUCUUUCCUUUCAUCUCCAGAGACCUCUUUGUUUUCCCUGAUUCCUGGACACACUGGGCUCAGGGCUCCUGACUGACUGGGCUGCAGCUCUCAGAUCUCCAAUGACUAGGAGGGAAUGAAUGGGUUGUCACCUCUUGACCUGUAUCCCCCACCCCCACUACGUCUCCUACCCCAGCAACCACAAUGGCCUGAGGCUAAUUCAGUGCCGUCAUUGUUGACCGUGGAGAACAAUGCUCAGAGACAGGCUGCUGGCGGGACUGGGUGCAGCCACCUGCUCCUCUCCAGCACUGUUUCUCCCAUGCUAGGAAGUUGGGAGAUGACUUUCCAUGUGUGAGAUAUGAGGGUCCUGAGAGGAGGUGUGAGAGGAGGGAGCAAACGGUAAUCUCCCCAUUCCCCCAUAUCCAAACCAUUUCCCAGUGCCAAGCAAGGCUGUGGGUACUAUGGGCUUCCUCUUACUAGGCUGUGGGUCACAUGGCUCCCCCCUCACUAGCUGUGAGACCGUGGGCAAAGUCACUUAGCUUCUCUGCGUCCUAGUCUUUAAUAUAGGGAUUUACUACCUCCUUCACCAAGUAAUUGAGGGGAAAGCUCUUAGCAUAGUGCCUCAUUCCAUAGAAGACAUCAGUUCUCCCUCUUGCCCCUGCUUUCCUGGUAAUUGGCAGGUGCGCUUGAUCUUUUGGGCCAGCUUGUGCUGGGAGGCAAGGUGCUGUGGGGAGGCACAACCUGGGAGAGCCUUUCCUGAGUCCAGCUGGAGCCAGAGAUAAAGGAGGCCUCCCUGCUUCCCCAGCUGUCUUGCUUCGCUUUGCUUUUUGUAACACGGAGGAAGCUGAAGGCAUUGUGAUUAUCGGCUCCGGGAAGAUAAACUUGAAGGGUGACUUAAUGAGCAUUUGUAAACCUAUCGAAGGUUAUCAUUCAGGGCAGAGUGACCGGCGGACACGCGGAAAUGGGUUUAGUAUGCAGCAAAGUGACAUCACCAAGGAGAUGCCUGCGUCCAACAAACCUAGCAUUCUCCAGAGCCCCGUGCCUGACCAGUGCUUGGAGGCUGGAAUGAGGCUGUGAGGCUCCAGCAGCCGUUUUGUGCCACGAGGCAGUAGAAACCUGGGUUCCUGAUGACUGUGGAGCUGCCGAACUAAUCUGGACCUCCAGAUUCCAUACCUGCAAGACACAUGAACAUCUGUCUUAUGCCGUGGAAACAGAAAUCUAGUGGAGGAUUCUGAUCCCUAGGGAAUGUAGGGCCACUGGACCCAAUUGCCCUAUAAUCUUGUGUGGUAUUUCCCUGCCCCUGCUCAACUUCAUUGGAUGGUAAUGUUACAUUUGUUAAGCCACUAAGGUUUUGGGGGUUGUUUAUUAGGCAGUUGUCUAGCCUGAUAACACAAGCCUGAAAGAAGGGCAUUCUUAUCCCUAUUUUUCCCUGGGGGAAAUGGGCUCAGAGAUACUAAGUAACUUGCUAAAGUCACACAGCAAGUAAGUGGCAAAUCCAGAUUUGAGCUCAGGUUAUGUCUUUUCCACUAACCCAGGCUAACAGGAUGAUUGUUCCUGCUUAGGUAUUGCCUUGGUCUUUGUUUCUUGAGGAGUCACAGAAAGAAAGACACAGACCAGGACUGGGAGGUAGGGAAGGAGGGAGCAGCUGGGGGGCAGGUGUGUAGUGGUGCAUCAUAGCAGCAAAGGGAGGUAAAGGUUCUAGGAAGGGGUGGUCAAUUGUGUCUAAUGAGAUCCAGCCAGGUGGAGGAGGAAGAGGGCUGGGAAGAGCCCAUUAAAUUUAAUGACCUCAGUGACAGUUUUAUCUGAGUGAUGGGGCAGAUGCCAGCUUGCAGAAGGUUUGGGAACAAGUCAGUGAUUAUGUUGGUUAAGGGAAGGAGAGAGGAAAAAAAGAGAGAUAGCUUUAAGUGGAAGCCAGGCCAAAGGAAAGCAUUUUGAGAAGGAAAUCAGUGGUUAGGGAGAGGUUAAAAAUAAGAAAGGGAAUCAUGACCUACAUAAUGCAAGGCAUCUGAAUGUGAUGAUUUCCUCCUUUAGGCUUGGUUCUGGUGUGCAUUUCCAGGGCUAAGCUGACUGGCCAGGAAGCAGGGAGCAAAGGGGGUUGGACACAGCCAGCAAAUCACGCAGCAUUAACUGGGCUGCGAGGCCGGAUCCUGAGUGGGCAAGCAGGUGGCAGCUGAAGUAUUGUGAAUCGAGAGCCUGAAAUUCUUCAGGAUCUUCUAAGAUUAUCCAUUUGAUUGGGUCAUGGAAUUAAUGUGGAUAAGCCUAGUUGAUCAACCUGAGUAGAGGGUGCUGUCACCUGCACAACACCUACCACAACUUCCUAGAACCUAGUGGCCGAGCUUGUUAAGUGUCCCCAAAUGCCCAUUCUCUCCUUCCUUUUAGUCAAGGAGCCAUGAAUUUUAGGGAAGAACAUGAUCAUUUAGCUCAGGACCACAGUUCCCAGACUCCCUGCAGCUGGAUGUGGAUGUCUACUCAGUUCUUGCUAAAACGAUGUGUGCAAUUUCCAGAGCACAUCCUUAUAUGGAAGUUAUUUGCAGUGAACAUUGUCUGUUUCCUCCUUUCAAUGAGGUGGAACUGGAAGUGCUGGAGAUGAGCUGCUGUGGCUGUAUGGACAAAGGCAAGAUCCUAUGGGAUGGCCAAGCAACCAGACAGAAGAACUCUUGAGACCUUGAGGAAAAGAACUGCCCGCAACUGCUCUUGACACUCUCUCCCUCUGGCCUGUUGUGUGGGAGAGAAAUAAA
RNAcentral lists this long non-coding RNA (4898 nucleotides) under Homo sapiens (human). Its description in RNAcentral is "HSALNT0291349". Lineage: Eukaryota; Metazoa; Chordata; Mammalia; Primates; Hominidae. The record is from RNAcentral.